This is an unclassified non-coding RNA of Urocitellus parryii (Arctic ground squirrel), 278 nucleotides long. Its record names the gene 7SK. It matches the Rfam family "7SK RNA". Rfam says of the family: 7SK was discovered as an abundant small nuclear RNA in the mid-70s but a possible function has only recently been suggested. Two independent studies have found that 7SK RNA binds the CDK9/cyclin T complex (known as elongation factor P-TEFb). The record is from Ensembl. NCBI's taxonomy places the organism in Eukaryota, Metazoa, Chordata, Mammalia, Rodentia, Sciuridae.
GGAUGUGAGGGCACUCUGCCUGCAACAUCUGUCACCCCAUUGGUUGACAGCAUUGAUUCAGCUGAUCUGACAGGUGUCCCUUCCUUCCUCACCGCUCCACCUGCAUCCCUCCUAAAGCUGCCGGCUGGGUUAAAGAGGACGACCUUCUUGAUAAAGAAGGACCAUUCUUUGGUCAGUUGUAUACGAGUAGCUGCCUUCCCCUGCCAGGACCUCCAAACAAACUCUCAAGAUGGCACCUGUGAGAGAAGUCAACACAGUACGGGGUCUUUCUGUGCCUG